GAGCGAACGGGGAGCAGCCCAGAGCCUGAAUCAGUGUGUGUGUUAGUGGAAGCGUCUGGAAAGGCGCGCGAUACAGGGUGACAGCCCCGUACACAAAAAUGCACAUGCUGUGAGCUCGAUGAGUAGGGCGGGACACGUGGUAUCCUGUCUGAAUAUGGGGGGACCAUCCUCCAAGGCUAAAUACUCCUGACUGACCGAUAGUGAACCAGUACCGUGAGGGAAAGGCGAAAAGAACCCCGGCGAGGGGAGUGAAAAAGAACCUGAAACCGUGUACGUACAAGCAGUGGGAGCACGCUUAGGCGUGUGACUGCGUACCUUUUGUAUAAUGGGUCAGCGACUUAUAUUCUGUAGCAAGGUUAACCGAAUAGGGGAGCCGAAGGGAAACCGAGUCUUAACUGGGCGUUAAGUUGCAGGGUAUAGACCCGAAACCCGGUGAUCUAGCCAUGGGCAGGUUGAAGGUUGGGUAACACUAACUGGAGGACCGAACCGACUAAUGUUGAAAAAUUAGCGGAUGACUUGUGGCUGGGGGUGAAAGGCCAAUCAAACCGGGAGAUAGCUGGUUCUCCCCGAAAGCUAUUUAGGUAGCGCCUCGUGAAUUCAUCUCCGGGGGUAGAGCACUGUUUCGGCAAGGGGGUCAUCCCGA
RNAcentral lists this ribosomal RNA (643 nucleotides) under Escherichia coli. RNAcentral's name for it is "partial 23S ribosomal RNA". It matches the Rfam family "Bacterial large subunit ribosomal RNA", at positions 251 to 934 of the family's 2925-position model. The record is from RNAcentral. Lineage: Bacteria; Pseudomonadati; Pseudomonadota; Gammaproteobacteria; Enterobacterales; Enterobacteriaceae.